Leucoraja erinaceus (little skate) is the source of this 185-nucleotide small nuclear RNA. RefSeq annotates it as U2 spliceosomal RNA. The record is from RefSeq and is a predicted model, not a curated record. NCBI's taxonomy places the organism in Eukaryota, Metazoa, Chordata, Chondrichthyes, Rajiformes, Rajidae. The transcript has a single exon.
CUAGCUGUGGCCUUUUGGCUAAGAUAAAAUGUAGUAUCUGUUCUUAUCAGUUUAAUAUCUGAUACAUCCCUUAUCUGGGGACCAUACAUUGAUUUUUGGAACAGAGGGAUGGAAUAGGGGCUAAAAAUGUUAGGGCACUACAAUGGCGCGGUGGUAGAGUUGCUGCCUCACAGCGCCAGGGACCC